AAGCGCCACACCAUAAUGGUCCCGCUAGCAGCCAGCCCUAGGUCAUGGUGAGUGGGACACGUGGCGGGUGCUGGUGGACUUAGGGAUAUCCGCCACCAUAACUGCGCCAGGCCCCAUCGCUUAUUUAAGCCCCCCUCCUUCCCUCCAGGGGCUUCACUUCGCCUGAGAGUCGACACCUUUCUUCUGCCUGAGAGUUUAGUCACUCCAUCGGUGCCCUUUUCAACUCUAAGCACUCUUCGCACC
RNAcentral lists this long non-coding RNA (243 nucleotides) under Elaeis guineensis (African oil palm). Its description in RNAcentral is "long non-coding RNA (EGUI_LNC070601)". The record is from RNAcentral. Lineage: Eukaryota; Viridiplantae; Streptophyta; Magnoliopsida; Arecales; Arecaceae.